AUGGUUGAUGGAACUUCUCCUGCAAGGAGGAAUGACAUCACAUGGAAUGAUGUGACGGACGAUGCAAUGCUUGAGGUACUUGUUCAUCAUCAAACCAUGGAUGACCAUUCACAAAAUGGAUGGAAAGCACAUGUGUACAUUGCAACUAUCAAGAAUGUGAAGGAGAAGUGUAAUAAGGAUAUCACAAAGGACAACAUAUUAGGAAGGCUUAGGACUUUCGACAAGCAAUAUGAAGUCAUUAACAAGAUCCUUUCUCAAAGCGGUUUUGGUUGGGAUUGGGUCAACCAUAAUCUAUCCAUUAAUAGUGACAAUGUGCGGACUAAAUUUGCAUAGAAAUAGAAAGGUUUAGCUUCUUACAAUACCAAAGUAGUGAAGCACUGGGAAGCCAUAUCUACCAUAUAUUCAAAAGAUCUUUUCAAUGGUGAAGGUGCCAAGAUAGGUGCUGAGACUAUUGUAGAUCUAGAAGAACCAAUUGAAAUCUCUCUAGAUGGUACCAAAGAGGUAACGAAUAUGUGA
This 516-nucleotide ribosomal RNA is filed under the name Triticum aestivum (bread wheat). RNAcentral describes it as "partial small subunit ribosomal RNA". Lineage: Eukaryota; Viridiplantae; Streptophyta; Magnoliopsida; Poales; Poaceae. The record is from RNAcentral.